AGUUGAGGAUGAUGAUAAUUCAGAAUCAGACGAGGGUACGACUGAGACAUUUUCAGAGGAUGAAAAGAGGCGGCCUCUAAGCAGAACAGCCGUAAUAUGUACCUGUUGUUUUUGUGUGAAGCAAGAUGUU
Long non-coding RNA from Gopherus evgoodei (Goodes thornscrub tortoise), 130 nucleotides. RefSeq lists it as uncharacterized. Lineage: Eukaryota; Metazoa; Chordata; Testudines; Testudinidae. The transcript has 2 exons. The record is from RefSeq and is a predicted model, not a curated record.